This 2398-nucleotide ribosomal RNA is filed under the name Escherichia coli STEC_O31. Its description in RNAcentral is "bacterial LSU rRNA". It matches the Rfam family "Bacterial large subunit ribosomal RNA", at positions 1 to 2425 of the family's 2925-position model. Lineage: Bacteria; Pseudomonadati; Pseudomonadota; Gammaproteobacteria; Enterobacterales; Enterobacteriaceae. The record is from RNAcentral.
UUAAGCGACUAAGCGUACACGGUGGAUGCCCUGGCAGUCAGAGGCGAUGAAGGACGUGCUAAUCUGCGAUAAGCGUCGGUAAGGUGAUAUGAACCGUUAUAACCGGCGAUUUCCGAAUGGGGAAACCCAGUGUGUUUCGUCACACUAUCAUUAACUGAAUCCAUAGGUUAAUGAGGCGAACCGGGGGAACUGAAACAUCUAAGUACCCCGAGGAAAAGAAAUCAACCGAGAUUCCCCCAGUAGCGGCGAGCGAACGGGGAGCAGCCCAGAGCCUGAAUCAGUGUGUGUGUUAGUGGAAGCGUCUGGAAAGGCGCGCGAUACAGGGUGACAGCCCCGUACACAAAAAUGCACAUGCUGUGAGCUCGAUGAGUAGGGCGGGACACGUGGUAUCCUGUCUGAAUAUGGGGGGACCAUCCUCCAAGGCUAAAUACUCCUGACUGACCGAAUAGUGAACCAGUGCCGUGAGGGAAAGGCGAAAAGAACCCCGGCGAGGGGAGUGAAAAAGAACCUGAAACCGUGUACGUACAAGCAGUGGGAGCACGCUUAGGCGUGUGACUGCGUACCUUUUGUAUAAUGGGUCAGCGACUUAUAUUCUGUAGCAAGGUUAACCGAAUAGGGGAGCCGAAGGGAAACCGAGUCUUAACUGGGCGUUAAGUUGCAGGGUAUAGACCCGAAACCCGGUGAUCUAGCCAUGGGCAGGUUGAAGGUUGGGUAACACUAACUGGAGGACCGAACCGACUAAUGUUGAAAAAUUAGCGGAUGACUUGUGGCUGGGGGUGAAAGGCCAAUCAAACCGGGAGAUAGCUGGUUCUCCCCGAAAGCUAUUUAGGUAGCGCCUCGUGAAUUCAUCUCCGGGGGUAGAGCACUGUUUCGGCAAGGGGGUCAUCCCGACUUACCAACCCGAUGCAAACUGCGAAUACCGGAGAAUGUUAUCACGGGAGACACACGGCGGGUGCUAACGUCCGUCGUGAAGAGGGAAACAACCCAGACCGCCAGCUAAGGUCCCAAAGUCAUGGUUAAGUGGGAAACGAUGUGGGAAGGCCCAGACAGCCAGGAUGUUGGCUUAGAAGCAGCCAUCAUUUAAAGAAAGCGUAAUAGCUCACUGGUCGAGUCGGCCUGCGCGGAAGAUGUAACGGGGCUAAACCAUGCACCGAAGCUGCGGCAGCGACGCUUAUGCGUUGUUGGGUAGGGGAGCGUUCUGUAAGCCUGUGAAGGUGUACUGUGAGGUAUGCUGGAGGUAUCAGAAGUGCGAAUGCUGACAUAAGUAACGAUAAAGCGGGUGAAAAGCCCGCUCGCCGGAAGACCAAGGGUUCCUGUCCAACGUUAAUCGGGGCAGGGUGAGUCGACCCCUAAGGCGAGGCCGAAAGGCGUAGUCGAUGGGAAACAGGUUAAUAUUCCUGUACUUGGUGUUACUGCGAAGGGGGGACGGAGAAGGCUAUGUUGGCCGGGCGACGGUUGUCCCGGUUUAAGCGUGUAGGCUGGUUUUCCAGGCAAAUCCGGAAAAUCAAGGCUGAGGCGUGAUGACGAGGCACUACGGUGCUGAAGCAACAAAUGCCCUGCUUCCAGGAAAAGCCUCUAAGCAUCAGGUAACAUCAAAUCGUACCCCAAACCGACACAGGUGGUCAGGUAGAGAAUACCAAGGCGCUUGAGAGAACUCGGGUGAAGGAACUAGGCAAAAUGGUGCCGUAACUUCGGGAGAAGGCACGCUGAUAUGUAGGUGAAGCGACUUGCUCGUGGAGCUGAAAUCAGUCGAAGAUACCAGCUGGCUGCAACUGUUUAUUAAAAACACAGCACUGUGCAAACACGAAAGUGGACGUAUACGGUGUGACGCCUGCCCGGUGCCGGAAGGUUAAUUGAUGGGGUCAGCGCAAGCGAAGCUCUUGAUCGAAGCCCCGGUAAACGGCGGCCGUAACUAUAACGGUCCUAAGGUAGCGAAAUUCCUUGUCGGGUAAGUUCCGACCUGCACGAAUGGCGUAAUGAUGGCCAGGCUGUCUCCACCCGAGACUCAGUGAAAUUGAACUCGCUGUGAAGAUGCAGUGUACCCGCGGCAAGACGGAAAGACCCCGUGAACCUUUACUAUAGCUUGACACUGAACAUUGAGCCUUGAUGUGUAGGAUAGGUGGGAGGCUUUGAAGUGUGGACGCCAGUCUGCAUGGAGCCGACCUUGAAAUACCACCCUUUAAUGUUUGAUGUUCUAACGUUGACCCGUAAUCCGGGUUGCGGACAGUGUCUGGUGGGUAGUUUGACUGGGGCGGUCUCCUCCUAAAGAGUAACGGAGGAGCACGAAGGUUGGCUAAUCCUGGUCGGACAUCAGGAGGUUAGUGCAAUGGCAUAAGCCAGCUUGACUGCGAGCGUGACGGCGCGAGCAGGUGCGAAAGCAGGUCAUAGUGAUCCGGUG